CGCGCGGCGCUGCGUCUGUGAGGGUGCGGGCUGGCGGCGCGGUGGGAGGGGGAGGAUCCAACAUGGCGUCCAUGCAGAAAAGAUUACAAAAGGAGCUAUUGGCAUUGCAAAAUGAUCCGCCUCCCGGAAUGACUCUAAAUGAAAAGAGCGUACAAAACUCCAUUACACAGUGGAUUGUGGACAUGGAAGGUGCUCCAGGAACGCUAUACGAAGGGGAGAAAUUUCAGCUUCUAUUUAAGUUCAGUAGCCGAUAUCCUUUUGAUUCGCCUCAGGUCAUGUUUACUGGUGACAAUAUUCCUGUUCAUCCACAUGUUUAUAGCAAUGGUCAUAUCUGUUUGUCCAUUCUAACAGAAGACUGGUCUCCAGCUCUCUCAGUGCAAUCUGUUUGUCUUAGCAUUAUUAGCAUGCUUUCCAGCUGCAAAGAAAAGGUCUUUUCUUCUGUUGCAGAGGCGACCUCCAGAUAACUCAUUUUAUGUAAGAACGUGUAACAAGAAUCCAAAGAAAACAAAAUGGUGGUAUCAUGAUGACACAUGUUGAUGCCACCAUUUUGUGAUCCUCGUAGCAGAAGAUAGUCCUACUGAGAAAACGAGCACUUUGAUCAUUCAGUCUUUGAACUUUAACCUUUGACUGGAAGUGACCUAUAGGCAAAGAAGACUACUUCCUUUGACUGCAUUUUUACUAGUGUGCAUUCUGGGCGCAUGUUGAUCGCUGGUUCAGUCCAUGCAACUGACAUGCUUUUAUUAGUCAUACAGUAUUAAUGCAGGUGUCCAGAAAUGUCAGAAUAAUUCCAUUAUUUUUAUUUUAAGCUUUUGGAGAAUUCCAGGUCUUCAUAUAUUGUGCAAUAACACUGAACUCCUUUGCGGUUUUGGUGCAUCCAUUGCCGGCAAUGGACAUUGUACCAGGGAAAGGUUUUUUGCUCCUGCCACAAAAAGAUUGAUGUGUAAUAGAGCUGGGGAAAGUUUCAGAUAUUUGAAUUAUAAGCAAGGGAUCUACCUGUACCUUAAAAGCCACCCCAUUCUUUUGUAUUUGGAUUCUAUGCACUGUGAUCUCAAAACUAGCAGCAUGAGGUAACAUGCUUAGCUGAAGGACUGUAAUAAGAUCAUUGCAUAUUUAUUAAAUUGUUUGUCUGCUGUCAAAUUGUUUUGACAUGGAAGGUUUUUCAAGUGACAUUGGCAGGGAGGUACAAUGUUAUCCCUAUGGUGAAAUAAAACUACUUUUUGUAUAUAGUUAUUCAUAUCUCUGAAGCAAAGGUAUGAGUAAUUUAGGGUAUGAAUGAUUUAAUCAAGAAUUUAUUUUGGAGAUAAGAGAGGAUGGCAGUGAUAUAACUGAACUUGCUGCAGUCCAUAAUUGGGCUUGUAAUUUGUACUUUAGAGCUUUUUCCAAAUAGAUUGCACACUGUUAUUUCCUGCUAGCCAUCAGCAUGAGCCCUACUGCCUACACCAAUAUUUCAUUUAUUUAUGUGUUUGAAAGAAAUCAUAUAACAUUUUUGUUUGCAUUCACUGUUUCUUUUGUUGU
Centrocercus urophasianus (Greater sage-grouse) is the source of this 1515-nucleotide RNA transcript. It is a transcript of the gene named ubiquitin conjugating enzyme E2 W, with no coding region annotated. The transcript is spliced from 6 exons. Lineage: Eukaryota; Metazoa; Chordata; Aves; Galliformes; Phasianidae. The record is from RefSeq and is a predicted model, not a curated record.